AAUAGUUCGUACCUGGAAAAAGUAAAGGGAGAAUCAUCAAUUUGAAGGACAAUCCAGAUGUAAGCUUUCAGGUGCAAUAAUAAGAUACCAUUAAACAUUAUAUUCAGAUCAAUGCGAAUAUAAUUUAACAACCCACAUUAAAACCAUAGCAGAAUCCGAGGUUAAGUUCUUUAUGCAUUUACCCGCUUACAAGCCAAAAGAGUAUUUACGCUUUCAAGUUUUUUUGUUUCUUUUCCCUUAUUCUACUGUUGACUUUUCCAGAAUCAAUCAAAAUGUUGAUUGUCGCAUAGAAAAUGAGUCAAUCCAGGAAAUAGAAUUUCUAUCACAUGCAAAGAGCAACAGACUGGAAAACAGUUAAAUAAAUGAAAUUUGAUUUCUUAUUUCUGCUGUGUCAUAUUUUGUCAUCGACAUGGCUUAACCUUUAAAUGUGUCACGUAAAUCUUGUUGGUUGCAAUAUUAACAAUCAUUCUUUCUUGCUUUCACACUCAGGCAAAGUUCUGACAUGUAAAAUGGCAAUCACAGAAUUGAGAGAAUAAAGUAAUUCAAGAACCUUGUCAAGGUAUUCCUGCAGU
This 572-nucleotide unclassified non-coding RNA is filed under the name Hevea brasiliensis (rubber tree). Lineage: Eukaryota; Viridiplantae; Streptophyta; Magnoliopsida; Malpighiales; Euphorbiaceae. The record is from RNAcentral.